Long non-coding RNA from Heterocephalus glaber (naked mole-rat), 916 nucleotides. The record is from Ensembl. Lineage: Eukaryota; Metazoa; Chordata; Mammalia; Rodentia; Bathyergidae.
AUGUAGAGUUUCAGAUGACAUGGAGAAAAGCUCUUUGUAAGUGGAAAAGAAUUAUGGAAAUGUAAAGGUUUGUUAUUUUAGUUUUCAAAUGGGGAGAAAGUGUACUGACCAGAUUCAUCAAGAAAUGACAUAUCAAGAAAGCUUCUUUUUGGGAUAAAAAGAUGUUCAGUGGGACUUUUCCCCGGUGUCCUGGGAUGCUGGCCAAAGCUGAGAACAAUGGGUGAGAAGUAUCUCCUCACUGUAAAGAAAGGACUGAAAAUAUCCUGCUGAACACACUCGGAGUAAGAAGCACCUUCCCAGCAACCAUUCACCCCAGCAAGGUCGAGCAGCCCAGACAGCCAGGCUUAGCCCAGAGAGGACCGUGAUGGCACCAGUGACUCCAGAGUCUUCUCUCCUGCAUUUAUCCCACUCACCCUAGUUGAAUCCAAGAUAUCCAGAAGAAAAAAUGGAGGGGUGGCCAAGAGUGAAAGACUAUUUGAGCCCCUUCCUCAUUGGAGUUGUUUGAUUCCUGGGUAAGGCAUGAGUCAAAGAGGGAAAAGAAGUAAGAGAUCAUGUUUGAAAUGGAAGUUUCACUGUUAGACUGGAUUGGACCCUGGACCACCAAAAAAGAAAUAAUAAUUAACUAAAUGAUCCUGUUUAUAGUGGAAAGUGAAGAAACACUUCAGAAUCUGCCUGAGAUUCCAUAACCAUGUGGGAAAGUGGGGUAUAAUAGUGUGUUUCCUGAGUGGUGGACUCCACCGAAGUCAAAGUGAAAAUAACUUCAGUCUACAGCUAAGUAGCUCACUAGUGAUGGGAAUCUCAAUGGAACAUGACAGAAACAAGGAACCAGACAUAUGGUGACACAGAAGCCUGGAACACGGAAGCAACUCAUUGAGAUGAACACAUGUGGGUAACAGCUGAACUGAGACUAGCAUGC